UUAAGUUCAGCGGGUAUUCCUACCUGAUCCGAGGUCAACCUUGUAAAAUUGGGGGUUUACCGGCCGGCAUGCGCCCGCGCCCGGAACGAGAAGUAACUACUGCGUUCGGUCGUGGGACGCACCCGCCGCUGUCUUUCGGGGCUGCAGCGCAGGACCCCAACGCCAGGCGUGGCCUGAGGGUUGUAAUGACGCUCGAACAG
RNAcentral lists this unclassified non-coding RNA (200 nucleotides) under Dictyochaeta sp. Its description in RNAcentral is "partial internal transcribed spacer 2". The record is from RNAcentral. Lineage: Eukaryota; Fungi; Ascomycota; Sordariomycetes; Chaetosphaeriales; Chaetosphaeriaceae.